AGUGAACGCUGGCGGUAGGCCUAACACAUGCAAGUCGAACGGCAGCACAGUAAGAGCUUGCUCUUACGGGUGGAGAGUGGCGGACGGGUGAGGAAUACAUCGGAAUCUACUUUUUCGUGGGGGAUAACGUAGGGAAACUUACGCUAAUACCGCAUACGACCUACGGGUGAAAUCAGGGGAUCUUCGUACCUUGAGCGAUGGAAUGAGCCGAUGUCGGAUUAGCUAGUUGGCGGGGUAAAGGCCCACCAAGGCGACGAUCCGUAGCUGGUCUGAGAGGAUGAGCAGCCACACUGGACCUGAGACACGGUACAGACUCCAACGGUAGGCAGCGGUGCGGAAUAUUGGACAAUGGGCGCAAGCCUGAUCCAGUCAUACCGCGUGGGUGAAGAAGGCCUUCGGGUUGUAAAGCCCUUUUGUUGGGAAAGAAAAGCAGCAGGUGAAUACCCCGCUGUUCUGACGGUACCCAAAGAAUAAGCACCGGCUAACUUCGUG
Molecule: ribosomal RNA, 492 nt
Filed under: uncultured bacterium
Lineage: Bacteria
Description: partial 16S ribosomal RNA
Rfam family: Bacterial small subunit ribosomal RNA
Source: RNAcentral